RNAcentral lists this long non-coding RNA (2539 nucleotides) under Cucumis sativus (cucumber). Its description in RNAcentral is "long non-coding RNA (CSAT_LNC000384)". The record is from RNAcentral. Lineage: Eukaryota; Viridiplantae; Streptophyta; Magnoliopsida; Cucurbitales; Cucurbitaceae.
UUUUAUGUUUUUUUUUUUUUUUUGUACACGAUUGUUUGUGUUUAUCGUUUAAAUUUGGGUUGUCAAAUCUCAACGGUUUUUUUUCAAGAUUUUUUGGAACUCGUUUAUAUAAGGAAAAGACCGUUUAAAUUUGGUAAUGAUCGUUUAUAUUUGAAACACGAUCGUUUAUAUUUGACCGUUCCAAAUCUAAAUGAUUUUUUAAAGAUUCUUUGUACAUGAUCGUUAAGAUUUGACUAUCCAAUAUCUCAACAAUUUUUUUUCACGAUUUUUUUAUAUUUGGAAUAACUAAAUAUCAAUUUGAAAACUAAAAAAUUACACAAGAAGAGAAAAUGAUGAUGGAAAGAAAAAAAAAUUCGUAGAAGAGAAAGAAAAGAAAGACGAUGAAAAUGAAAAGGCAAACCUGAAAUAUUUUAAAUGAAUUUGUAUUACAUAAUGAACCAUCUUAAUUUAUUAAUGCCUAUACAUAAUAUAUAUUGUAUUACAUACCGUUUCAAAAGUAACGAUGUUUUCUUUCAACACAAAUAUCAAAUAUAGUCAUUAUCCACAAAAUAUAUUAACAUGACAUUUUCAAAUAUAGUAUAAUAUACCAAAAUAAUUAUAAAAUAUAACAAAAUUUUAGAGAUUGUUAACCAAUGUCUAUUAGUGUCUAUCAUUGAUAGAUAUAAUAUUUUGUAAAUAUUUUUAAUAAUUUUGUUAUUUACAAUAAUGUUUGUAGCUUGGUUCCUGUUUUUUCUUCGGAGAAAAGAAAAAUGAAAACAAAAUUGGUAUUUUAGUAUCAAGCAACUGUCAUUCCCUUAGGAAAAUACAUUUCAUAUAGUUUCACGAAGGAUAUACUUUAUCAAUAAAGUUAAGUCUCUGUUAACUUUAAUAUUAACUUUAACUUUAAUAUUUUUAGUUUCAUAUUAGAUUGAUACAAAGAGUUCAUAUAGUCAAUUCGAGUUGGAUGAAGAGCAUAUGGUGCUUGCUGAUUUUUUGGGUUGCCACAUUUGAUUUUAUAAUGAAUUAAAUAUAUUUUGGGUUAGAUAAGUUUUUGUUGAUACUGCAUAUAUAUAGGUGUGAUAUUUUGUUGAUAUAUUUGGAUAUAUCUAGAUGAAUUAGUUUAGUUGAUACUUUUGUUGAUACACCUAUAGUUAGGCUACACCUAUAGUUAGGCUGUUUUGUUAGAAAAGUUAGGCUAACUAUACAUGUAUGUAUAUGGUUCCAUUGAUAUUAUAUAUGUUAAAAUAUUAUUAAAAGUUCUUUGAUGGAAAUUAAAGUUAGUUCAUUCAAUUGUUCAACAAGUGUGAUCUCUUGUAUUACUUAUAUACAUUCGGCUACAAAACAGGUGCACGAAACAUUAUGAAGAUAUUUUAAAAUAUAUAAUUUUUUUUUCAAAGAAAAACUUAACUUGCAAAACAUGUCAAGAGUACAUGCAAAAAAUGUCAAGAAAUCACAUGUACUUAACGUUUAUAAACUAUCAAGUAUAACACUACUUGACGCUUAAAAUCUGUCAAACAAAAUCACUCUUAUUCUUGACACUAGAUUACUUGACGAUUAAAAAGUGUCAAGUAAUCUCAUAUACUUGACGUCUUUUACCUGUCAAGUAAACUGGUUUUACUUGACGAUUAAAACCAGUCAAAUAUACCUUCUUUAUUCUUGACACUGGAUUACUUAACACUUUUAAAAGCGUCAAGUAAACCUUUACUUGACAGUUUUUAAGCGUCAACUAAGGCCAAUUUUGUAGUAAUUGCUGUCUAGAUUCACACCACAAUCUAGGUUACUAGUUUCCAUUAUUUCAUUGUUUUUUAGUAUACCAUCCAAUGCUUCUUAACAUCAACAUUUUCUUUUGAGAUUCUAGAAUUAUUUGUCUAACUCUUGCGCUAUAUUUGUAAUAAAUAUAUAUAACAGAAAUAUAGAGCAAAAUAUAUAUAUAUAUAUAUAUAUAUAUAUAUAUAUAUAUAUAAAUAAAUAUACUAAGUAGAAGGUAGUUUUCUAUAUUAUAUAUAUAUCUUUAUUAAUUUUUUUUUUAUUGAACACUAUUACUGUAUUACAUAGUGAUAUUGUUGUUUAUAUUAGAAAACAAAGUAGAGUGUAGUAUACCUCUCUCAUUUAUUUAAACCAAACUACAAGUAGGGUAGUGGGAGUGGGAGUGAGAGAGAUGUAGUGAUUUAUAUUUUUAGCAUCCGCAACUGGAUUGUUUGGGUCGAAUUUCGAAACCUUUAAAUUUCAACCCCGUCUUCCAUUGACUACUGUGAUUGUACACUCUAAACUCAUACUCCUUAUCACUGUUACAAUCAUGUUUGUCGACCUUGAAUUCCCCAAUCUUGAUCGUAAACCAAACAUCUCGUGGCUUACAUUGUAGGCUUUCUUUGGUCUCAAUUUUUUUUCCAUCUGGGAGGGUGAUUACAAAGAUAACAGGUUCUUGCCAUCCAGAGGCACAAGGUGUAACGCAAACAUGACAUAAUACUUCAUAUAGAACUCCAGAUGAUAGUGCGUAUUGCUUCAACUUUCCACUUAUAUCCAACCAACAUACUUUUAUAAGCUGUGCCACGUCAAUUUU